This is a long non-coding RNA of Cebus imitator (Panamanian white-faced capuchin), 86 nucleotides long. RefSeq lists it as uncharacterized. NCBI's taxonomy places the organism in Eukaryota, Metazoa, Chordata, Mammalia, Primates, Cebidae. The record is from RefSeq and is a predicted model, not a curated record. The transcript has 3 exons.
UCCCCAAUUUUGGAAGUGGGGCAUGGUGAGAGGUGAUUAGAUUACAGGGGCAGAUUUCUCAUGUAUUAUUUAGCACCAUUUCCUCA